AAAUUGAAGAGUUUGAUCAUGGCUCAGAUUGAACGCUGGCGGCAGGCCUAACACAUGCAAGUCGAGCGGUAGCACAGAGAGCUUGCUCUCGGGUGACGAGCGGCGGACGGGUGAGUAAUGUCUGGGAAACUGCCUGAUGGAGGGGGAUAACUACUGGAAACGGUAGCUAAUACCGCAUAAUGUCGCAAGACCAAAGUGGGGGACCUUCGGGCCUCAUGCCAUCAGAUGUGCCCAGAUGGGAUUAGCUAGUAGGUGGGGUAACGGCUCACCUAGGCGACGAUCCCUAGCUGGUCUGAGAGGAUGACCAGCCACACUGGAACUGAGACACGGUCCAGACUCCUACGGGAGGCAGCAGUGGGGAAUAUUGCACAAUGGGCGCAAGCCUGAUGCAGCCAUGCCGCGUGUGUGAAGAAGGCCUUCGGGUUGUAAAGCACUUUCAGCGGGGAGGAAGGCGAUAAGGUUAAUAACCUCAUCGAUUGACGUUACCCGCAGAAGAAGCACCGGCUAACUCCGUGCCAGCAGCCGCGGUAAUACGGAGGGUGCAAGCGUUAAUCGGAAUUACUGGGCGUAAAGCGCACGCAGGCGGUCUGUCAAGUCGGA
This 600-nucleotide ribosomal RNA is filed under the name Klebsiella pneumoniae. RNAcentral describes it as "bacterial SSU rRNA". It matches the Rfam family "Bacterial small subunit ribosomal RNA", at positions 1 to 592 of the family's 1533-position model. The record is from RNAcentral. Lineage: Bacteria; Pseudomonadati; Pseudomonadota; Gammaproteobacteria; Enterobacterales; Enterobacteriaceae.